This 325-nucleotide ribosomal RNA is filed under the name uncultured Pseudomonadota bacterium. RNAcentral describes it as "bacterial SSU rRNA". It matches the Rfam family "Bacterial small subunit ribosomal RNA", at positions 30 to 351 of the family's 1533-position model. Lineage: Bacteria; Pseudomonadati; Pseudomonadota. The record is from RNAcentral.
AUUGAACGCUGGCGGCAUGCUUUACACAUGCAAGUCGAACGGCAGCACGGGGUGGUAACACCCUGGUGGCGAGUGGCGAACGGGUGAGUAAUAUAUCGGAACAUGUCCGGAAGUGGGGGAUAGCUCGGCGAAAGCCGGAUUAAUACCGCAUAUGCCCUGAGGGGAAAGGAGGGAUCCGCAAGGACCUUUCGCUUUCGGAGUGGCCGAUAUCGGAUUAGCUAGUUGGUGAGGUAAAGGCUUACCAAGGCGACGAUCCGUAGCUGGUCUGAGAGGACGACCAGCCACACUGGAACUGAGACACGGUCCAGACUCCUACGGGAGGCAG